UACAGGGGUGCGAGCGUUAAUCGGAAUUACUGGGCGUAAAGCGUGCGUAGGUGGUUUCUUAAGCUGGAUGUGAAAGCCCCGGGCGUUAACCUACGGGAACGUGCAUUCUAGGACGUGGGAAACGUACGAGUCUGGGAGAGGGUGGUGGAAUUUCCGGUGUAGCGGUGAAAUGCGUAGAUAUCGGAAGGAACAUCAGUGGCGAAGGCGACCGCCUGGCCUAAGACUGACACUGAGGCACG
This 239-nucleotide ribosomal RNA is filed under the name uncultured bacterium. RNAcentral's name for it is "partial 16S ribosomal RNA". It matches the Rfam family "Bacterial small subunit ribosomal RNA", at positions 524 to 755 of the family's 1533-position model. The record is from RNAcentral.